UACGUAGGGAGCAAGCGUUGUCCGGAAUCAUUGGGCGUAAAGUGCGCGUAGGUGGCCCGGUAAGUCCGCUCUGAAAGUCACAGGCUCAACCUGUGAAAGCGGGUGGAUACUGCCGGGCUAGAGUCCGGAAGAGGCGAGUGGAAUUCCUGGUGUAGCGGUGGAAUGCGCAGAUAUCAGGAGGAACACCAACGGCGAAGGCAGCUCGCUGGGACGGUACUGACACUGAGGCGCGAAAGCGUGGGGAGCGAACAGG
Molecule: ribosomal RNA, 253 nt
Filed under: uncultured bacterium
Lineage: Bacteria
Description: partial 16S ribosomal RNA
Rfam family: Bacterial small subunit ribosomal RNA
Source: RNAcentral